Molecule: ribosomal RNA, 334 nt
Filed under: uncultured bacterium
Lineage: Bacteria
Description: partial 16S ribosomal RNA
Rfam family: Bacterial small subunit ribosomal RNA
Source: RNAcentral
CCUACGGGAGGCAGCAGUGAGGAAUAUUGGUCAAUGGACGAGAGUCUGAACCAGCCAAGUAGCGUGAAGGAGGACGGCCCUAUGGGUUGUAAACUUCAGUUAUAAGGGAAUAAAAUGUGCCACGUGGGGGAUUUUGUAUGUACAAUAUGAAUAAGGAUCGGAUAACUCCGUGCCAGCAGCCGCGGUAAUACGGAGGGUCCGAGCGUUAGCCGGAGUUAUGGGGUUGAAAGGGAGCGUAGGUGGCUUGUUAAGUCAGUUGUGACAGUUUGCGGCUCAACCGUAAAAUUGCAGUUGAAACUGGCAGUCUUGAGUACAUUAGAGGUGGGCGUAUUUC